RNAcentral lists this ribosomal RNA (465 nucleotides) under uncultured bacterium. RNAcentral describes it as "partial 16S ribosomal RNA". It matches the Rfam family "Bacterial small subunit ribosomal RNA", at positions 28 to 507 of the family's 1533-position model. The record is from RNAcentral.
GACGAACGCUGGCGGCGUGCUUAACACAUGCGAGUCGAACGGAAAGGCCCCUUUGGGGGUACUCGAGUGGCGAACGGGUGAGUAACACGUGAGUAACCUGCCCUUGACUUCGGGAUAACUUCAGGAAACUGGGGCUAAUACCGGAUAGGAAUCCUUGCUGCAUGGUGGGGGUUGGAAAGCUUCGGCGGUUUUGGAUGGACUCGCGGCUUAUCAGCUUGUUGGUGGGGUGGUGGCUUACCAAGGCUUUGACGGGUAGCCGGCCUGAGAGGGCGACCGGCCACAUUGGGACUUAGGUACGGCCCAGACUCCGACGGGAGGCAGCAGUGGGGAAUAUUGCACAAUGGGCGGAAGCCUGAUGCAGCAACGCCGCGUGCGGGAUGACGGCCUUCGGGUUGUAAACCGCUUUCAGCAGGGGCGAAGCUUGUGGUGACGGUACCUGCAGAAGAAGCACCGGCUAACUACGUG